GUUUGUGUACUCGUGAAAUUAGUUUACUAAGUUGUAUACUAAUAUUGCGUGGCUAAAAUUAGUUUGCUAUAUUAAGCACUGUUCAAAUUUCAAACCAAAAGGUGAUUGUUCUUGAAAUUUUCUACGUGUUCACCAAUGCAUUUAUCUUUCCACAUUUGAUAUCAUACUCUCAGUAAUGAGUCAGACAUGUAGANNNNNNNNGUAUAUAGGUAUAGGUAGACUUGUUUGAAAUGCAAAAUAAAAUAAAAUAAAAAAGGGGGGA
RNAcentral lists this unclassified non-coding RNA (262 nucleotides) under Hevea brasiliensis (rubber tree). The record is from RNAcentral. Lineage: Eukaryota; Viridiplantae; Streptophyta; Magnoliopsida; Malpighiales; Euphorbiaceae.